UGGGGAAUAUUGCACAAUGGGCGCAAGCCUGAUGCAGCCAUGCCGCGUGUGUGAAGAAGGCCUUCGGGUUGUAAAGCACUUUCAGCGGGGAGGAAGGCGUUAAGGUUAAUAACCUUGGCGAUUGACGUUACCCGCAGAAGAAGCACCGGCUAACUCCGUGCCAGCAGCCGCGGUAAUACGGAGGGUGCAAGCGUUAAUCGGAAUUACUGGGCGUAAAGCGCACGCAGGCGGUCUGUCAAGUCGGAUGUGAAAUCCCCGGGCUCAACCUGGGAACUGCAUUCGAAACUGGCAGGCUAGAGUCUUGUAGAGGGGGGUAGAAUUCCAGGUGUAGCGGUGAAAUGCGUAGUGAUCUGGAGGAAUACCGGUGGCGAAGGCGGCCCCCUGGACAAAGACUGACGCUCAGGUGCGAAAGCGUGGGGAGCAAACAGG
This 429-nucleotide ribosomal RNA is filed under the name Chloroflexota bacterium. RNAcentral describes it as "Chloroflexi bacterium partial 16S ribosomal RNA". It matches the Rfam family "Bacterial small subunit ribosomal RNA", at positions 355 to 776 of the family's 1533-position model. The record is from RNAcentral. Lineage: Bacteria; Bacillati; Chloroflexota.